RNAcentral lists this transfer RNA (90 nucleotides) under Alphaproteobacteria bacterium. RNAcentral's name for it is "tRNA-Ser". It matches the Rfam family "tRNA". From Rfam's summary of the family: Transfer RNA (tRNA) molecules are approximately 80 nucleotides in length. Their secondary structure includes four short double-helical elements and three loops (D, anti-codon, and T loops). RNAcentral also lists the same sequence under 2 other names. The record is from RNAcentral. Lineage: Bacteria; Pseudomonadati; Pseudomonadota; Alphaproteobacteria.
GGUGAGUUGGCCGAGUGGUUGAAGGCGCACGCUUGGAAAGCGUGUUUACGGGAGACCGUAACGAGGGUUCGAAUCCCUCACUCACCGCCA